This is a long non-coding RNA of Hydractinia symbiolongicarpus, 1085 nucleotides long. RefSeq lists it as uncharacterized. The transcript has 3 exons. NCBI's taxonomy places the organism in Eukaryota, Metazoa, Cnidaria, Hydrozoa, Anthoathecata, Hydractiniidae. The record is from RefSeq and is a predicted model, not a curated record.
CAUUUUUGGAUGCAAGAGUUGGGAAGAAAAAGUUGGACUGAAUCUCACAGACACUACUGAAUGCUCCCUUGGUAAAAUUUCCAACAGAGUCUAUUUGUAGAUGUUUAAGGUGACAUCCAUGGAAGUUUUAAUAAUGGGUUGAUUACCUCAAGAACAAGUACAGAAUAUACGAGCGAAUGUAUAACCAUUAUGGGUGAGGUGAGAAAAAUGCAAUUUGGGUUAUUUGAGCUAAAUCACUUUGUAUAUACCUCCAACCACCAUGAAAAAAGACAAAACGUUUAAAAGGUAAGAAGUAAUUAUUGCUUGUUUUUUUAAAAGAGAAAGUUCUAUACAUUGCAAGUAAACAUUCAGCUUUAUUUCUUGGAAAUAAUUAAUAAUGCGUUAGCUACACAUAUUUUUAUGUUGUACCCAAAUAUCUGCAAGAUUUUACAUAUUCUUGCCUUGCCAUAGUGCCAGUAACGACCAGUUUCCUGUGAGAGAUCUAUAUCAACGCUACGACGAGUAAAGACAUAUUCAAGAAACUUGAUGACCCAGGGUCAAUUUAAUGGUUUGGUGUUGCUAAAUAUCCACAACGAGAUGAGAAUAAAUUUAGAUGACAUAAUCGAUAUGCUGGUAAAAAAUAAAAUGUUAAAUAUCCUGAACGACGGUUAAAAGUGUAGCAGUCUUGAUAAAAAAGGAAUAAAUCUUGUAUAUUAUAUGUAUAUAAAUUCCCUAGAAGUAAUAAGGCAUGACAUCAAAAUUUUUAAAAAACAACAUUUUAAUUACUCAAGUUGUACAAAAAAUAUUCAAAAAUAUAAUCUUCGUCAGCUAAAAAAACAUUCAAAAUUAUAAUCUUCGUUAUUACUCAAGUUGUACAAAAAAUAUUCAAAAAUAUAAUCUUCGUCAGCUAAAAAAACAUUCAAAAAUAUAAAAAACUAAAAAACCCACUAUAUACCUACUUAUCAAAGAUAAGUCUGAAAGAUGAUUUUAAGCUAUUUUAGCCGUUUAAGGGCGUUGCCCUGGACCCAUUGGGGGACACCCCCAAACCCCCAGUUGUAAGAUCUUCUCUUUGAGGCUUUUUUACACCAGUCAAAAAAAAUCCUAGA